UUGAUGCCCUGUCUCUUUCCCCAGAUCGGGCCCAACACAGGCAGCGUCAGUGCAAACUUCCCCCACCCCGCCUUCCACCCAUGUGUGUCAACCCUGCCCCUGGAGGGACCAUCUCUCGAGGUAAGGGAGGAGCCAUGCCUCCAGCAACAGCUUGG
Unclassified non-coding RNA from Propithecus coquereli (Coquerel's sifaka), 155 nucleotides. The record is from Ensembl. Lineage: Eukaryota; Metazoa; Chordata; Mammalia; Primates; Indriidae.